This 270-nucleotide long non-coding RNA is filed under the name Nicotiana benthamiana. Its description in RNAcentral is "long non-coding RNA (NBEN_LNC003682)". Lineage: Eukaryota; Viridiplantae; Streptophyta; Magnoliopsida; Solanales; Solanaceae. The record is from RNAcentral.
UUUGAAAUUACCAAAUGGUAGACACAGCCUAAAACAGUCCUGCUUGAACCCCAAAUUCCCUCAGAAUCAAUCGACAAUGCCCCCCAAAACGUUGAAUGAUCAGAAACCAAACUAAAAUGUAGGGCAAUAACUUGAAGAUAAAAUUCACACAGAAUUCCAAUCAAACAAUAUCUUUUCUUUGGUUAUCUGCAGUUUUGGAUUAUUUUUUGUUUAUUUUCUGUUGAAGAAUGCUAAGAUCUAAGGGGAUUUCAGAUCUGAAUUUCAGAUCUG